AAAUUGAAGAGUUUGAUCAUGGCUCAGAUUGAACGCUGGCGGCAGGCCUAACACAUGCAAGUCGAACGGUAGCACAGAGAGCUUGCUCUCGGGUGACGAGUGGCGGACGGGUGAGUAAUGUCUGGGAAACUGCCUGAUGGAGGGGGAUAACUACUGGAAACGGUGGCUAAUACCGCAUAACGUCGCGAGACCAAAGAGGGGGACCUUCGGGCCUCUUGCCAUCAGAUGUGCCCAGAUGGGAUUAGCUUGUUGGUGAGGUAACGGCUCACCAAGGCGACGAUCCCUAGCUGGUCUGAGAGGAUGACCAGCCACACUGGAACUGAGACACGGUCCAGACUCCUACGGGAGGCAGCAGUGGGGAAUAUUGCACAAUGGGCGCAAGCCUGAUGCAGCCAUGCCGCGUGUAUGAAGAAGGCCUUCGGGUUGUAAAGUACUUUCAGCGGGGAGGAAGGUGUUGUGGUUAAUAACCGCAGCAAUUGACGUUACCCGCAGAAGAAGCACCGGCUAACUCCGUGCCAGCAGCCGCGGUAAUACGGAGGGUGCAAGCGUUAAUCGGAAUUACUGGGCGUAAAGCGCACGCAGGCGGUCUGUCAAGUCGGAUGUGAAAU
This 608-nucleotide ribosomal RNA is filed under the name Salmonella enterica. RNAcentral's name for it is "bacterial SSU rRNA". It matches the Rfam family "Bacterial small subunit ribosomal RNA", at positions 1 to 600 of the family's 1533-position model. The record is from RNAcentral. Lineage: Bacteria; Pseudomonadati; Pseudomonadota; Gammaproteobacteria; Enterobacterales; Enterobacteriaceae.